CUUCGCCUUUCCCCACCUGAAACUCCUCUCCUUCCUUCAUCACCAAUAUAUGUGUGUGUCGCACUCGUUAAACCAAGUUGGUCAAGGAGUUCAUACACUCUUUGUUUCUUCUCACUCCUGGAAAUGGAAGGUGGAAGCCUAACUUCAGCUGCAAACAUGAAGGUCUCAAAAACAGUCAACAUAGGGAAGAGCUGAUCAUCUUGCAUCACAUAAGAUGAAAUCAUCUUCAUGUAGCUUGUAGUUACCGAUUUCCCGUCAAUCUUGACAGAUCCUUCAAGGCUACCCUGCGCAAUCCGACCAGCCAAGGCAUCAAGAAAAGUGGAUUUUCCAGCACCACUAGGCCCCAUGAUGGCCAUAAUUUCACCCCUUAUAGCUUGGCCAGAUAUAUCAUUGAGAAG
This 398-nucleotide unclassified non-coding RNA is filed under the name Hevea brasiliensis (rubber tree). The record is from RNAcentral. Lineage: Eukaryota; Viridiplantae; Streptophyta; Magnoliopsida; Malpighiales; Euphorbiaceae.